ACGAUUCCAGCCAUCCUUGUAUCCCAAGGAAGACGAACUUGGGGGCAGGCGCUCUGCACACUGCAGCAGGUCUGUCCUCUCUACAAUAAGAUAAUAGCAACUCGUCUGACCUACAACAUUGAAGCCCUCAGCUCGCUCCCUGAAGGGAGCCUGUGCAGGUUUGGCGCCAAAUUAAUCUCUUCUGACCUGUGAAUUCUAGACAACCCUGCUCCAGCUGCAGAGCUGUACUGGUACCGCUUGUGGCUGUAGGAGUUGGGCAGAUGUGGGAAGCUGCACGCUGAAGGAAGUCACCUGUCACUCUGCCAUCCUGUGGGAGAGGUUCUGCUUGCUGGAUUCAUCACUCAUGGAACUCCGUCGUCCUUUUAACUUUGUGAGGAGAAACGUCACAACAAUAACACCCAAUCCCCAGAUAUCGCUGCCUUGAUCAGGGCACCAGACAUGCAAUGGUGUCGAUCCGCGUGAGCUCCAGGUCACUACAUCUAGGAAUUCUCCUGUUUGAUCCUGGCAGCCUCCCCUUUUCCCCAUCCUACCUCGUUGACCUUUCUGGAAGUGGGCUCUAUUUGAGAAGCCAUAGUCCGCCCGCUUUUUGCGAUGCUUCUGUGUACUUCUUCCCUCUCGUGAGAGCCAAACUCCUUCCUUCAGGGUUGGGACUCAGUGCUCAAGAUCUGUAAUUGCACACCCCAGCACUCAGGGUAGGUCCCAAGAGAAAUGCUUGCAAUAGCUCCUGAGGACAGGCCUGAAGCACCACCUGUUUGUAGUUCAUGUGUUGUCACUCAUCUGGUAGCUCACCUUACUGGUAUGAGGUCACAUCCACACCUGCAGCCUCUCCACCUUGCCUGGAUCUUCCUUCAGCUUUCUCAACUCCCACAUGAGGUGUGAAGAUAUGGAACUCGACAAUGAAGCUGCCUUCUACCUUCUGUAGGCCAUCCAUGUCAUCAAGAUCAGAAGCAAUUGGGACUGAUGAGUUUCACAUCUUCCUGAAGGUGGUCUUGACAACUUAUGUAAACAAUUUCGGUCUUAUCAAGUGACCCAGGGUGAAACUGAAGCAGAGGCAAGGACUAGCUGGUUGAUUUUUAAUCGAGUGGAACUGGUUGAGACUCAAUAUGUUGUCUUCAUGCUUGGCAAGAUGGCACUUAAAUAAUCCUGACUCUCAAAAGUCUGAGGCAGGAAAGUUGAAAGUUCAAGGUCAACCUGGUCUACAGAGUCUCACCUUUCCUAAUGCUGCAACCCUUUAAUACAGUGCCUUUUGUUGUGAUGAUCCCCAACCAUAAAAUUAUUUAACUGCUACUUCAUAACGGCAACUUUGCUACUAAUUAUGGGCCAUAACCAAUUAAAUCCCAACAAAGAAACACCAGUCUUGGUUUGACAUGGAGGUCACAGUACAGCAGAUUUUUGUCAGUGGCUUUUCCCACCUGGCAUUCUUCGCACUAUCAACUUUUCAAGCGGACUUCAGACCUCACACACAUUUCCUGAAGUUGGUGCCCCUUUCCUUAGCGACAGCAAGUGAUGACCUCUUCGGAGCCAGAGAAAUAAGCAGCCAGAAGUCUGACAACUGAACACGUGUGCAAGUUCAUUUGUGUUCCCUGAAUCAUCUGCACUCCAGACACAACUGAAUUUAGGAGCAUCUAGUUUCUAAAGAAAGCUAACACACCUGCUCCAUGCUGCAAAAAUCACAUGAGUUUGGAAUGAGCCUAGUACAUAUUACAGUUAGAAAUGCUAAAUUUGGGGGGCUGAGGAAUGUUUUGGGGGUUAAAGUCACUUCUUUUCUUCCAGAGUAUCAGGGUUUGAUUCCCAGCACCAACAUGGUAGCACACAGCAGCCUAAGACUCCAGUUCUAACACCUCCCGGGGCUCCUUCAGGGAGGGGUACUGAUAUAUAAAACAGGGGAUACAUGCACACAUAAAAGAAAAUAAAGUAUUUACAAUGUUUAAUUUGUAAUACCAAUUGUGCCCUUAUGUAUAUUUUCCUAAGCAUAUAGUAUUUUAAAUUUUUGCAUUAGAAAAAUGUUAUUGUUUAGAAUGACGAUGUAGACCUGUACAUUUUUGCGGUAUUAAAAAAAAUGUGUUU
Molecule: long non-coding RNA, 2067 nt
Organism: Mus musculus (house mouse)
Lineage: Eukaryota; Metazoa; Chordata; Mammalia; Rodentia; Muridae
Product: predicted gene, 32511
Exons: 6
Source: RefSeq, marked validated